Molecule: ribosomal RNA, 586 nt
Filed under: uncultured freshwater bacterium
Lineage: Bacteria
Description: bacterial SSU rRNA
Rfam family: Bacterial small subunit ribosomal RNA
Source: RNAcentral
AGAGUUUGAUCCUGGCUCAGGAUGAACGCUAGCGGCAGGCCUAAUACAUGCAAGUCAAGGGGCCAGUAAUGGCACCGGCGGACGGGUGCGUAACGCGUACACAACGUACCUUUGGGUGGGGGAUAGCAUCGGGAAACUGGUGGUAAUACCCCAUGGUAUUGGAGAUUGGCAUCAAUUUUCAAUUAAAGACUACGCCCAAAGAUCGGUGUGCGUCUGAUUAGCUAGUUGGUAGGGUAACGGCCUACCAAGGCGACGAUCAGUAGGGGAUGUGAGAGCAUGAUCCCCCACACGGGUACUGAGACACGGACCCGACUCCUACGGGAGGCAGCAGUAAGGAAUAUUGGACAAUGGUCGGAAGACUGAUCCAGCCAUGCCGCGUGAAGGAUGAAGGCGCUCAGCGUUGUAAACUUCUUUUGUACAGGAACAAAAUGCGACCUGCGGGUUGUACUGAGGGUACUGUAAGAAUAAGCACCGGCUAACUCCGUGCCAGCAGCCGCGGUAAUACGGAGGGUGCAAGCGUUAUCCGGAAUCACUGGGUUUAAAGGGUGCGUAGGCGGUCUGAUAAGUCAGUUGUGAAAUUCCCUCG